AAAGGAAUAGACGGGCACCCGCACAAGCAGUGGAGCAUGUUGUUUAAUUCGAAGCUACGCGAAGAACCUUACCUGGGCUUGACAUCCCGCUGACCGUCUUAGAGAUAAGAUUUUCCCUUCGGGGACAGCGGUGACAGGUGGUGCAUGGUUGUCGUCAGCUCGUGUCGUGAGAUGUUUGGUUAAGUCCAAUAACGAGCGCAACCCUUUUCUCUAAUUGCUAACAUUUAGUUGAGAACCUUAGAGAUACUGCCGUUAAUAAAACGGAGGAAGGUGGGGAUGACGUCAAAUCAUCAUGCCCCUUACGUCCAGGGCUACAGACGUGCUAUAAUGGUAGGUAUAAUGAGUCGCAAUACCGUGAGGUGGAGCUAAUCUCCAAAGCCUACCCCAGUUCGGAUUGAAGUCUGCAACUCGACUUCAUGAAGCUAGAAUUGCUAGUAAUCCCGAAUCAGAAUGUCGGGGUGAAUACGUUCCCGGGUGUUGUACACACCGCCCGU
Molecule: ribosomal RNA, 494 nt
Filed under: uncultured bacterium
Lineage: Bacteria
Description: bacterial SSU rRNA
Rfam family: Bacterial small subunit ribosomal RNA
Source: RNAcentral